Molecule: ribosomal RNA, 555 nt
Filed under: Staphylococcus aureus
Lineage: Bacteria; Bacillati; Bacillota; Bacilli; Caryophanales; Staphylococcaceae
Description: partial 23S ribosomal RNA
Rfam family: Bacterial large subunit ribosomal RNA
Source: RNAcentral
GAUUAAGUUAUUAAGGGCGCACGGUGGAUGCCUUGGCACUAGAAGCCGAUGAAGGACGUUACUAACGACGAUAUGCUUUGGGGAGCUGUAAGUAAGCUUUGAUCCAGAGAUUUCCGAAUGGGGAAACCCAGCAUGAGUUAUGUCAUGUUAUCGAUAUGUGAAUACAUAGCAUAUCAGAAGGCACACCCGGAGAACUGAAACAUCUUAGUACCCGGAGGAAGAGAAAGAAAAUUCGAUUCCCUUAGUAGCGGCGAGCGAAACGGGAAGAGCCCAAACCAACAAGCUUGCUUGUUGGGGUUGUAGGACACUCUAUACGGAGUUACAAAGGACGACAUUAGACGAAUCAUCUGGAAAGAUGAAUCAAAGAAGGUAAUAAUCCUGUAGUCGAAAAUGUUGUCUCUCUUGAGUGGAUCCUGAGUACGACGGAGCACGUGAAAUUCCGUUGGAAUCUGGGAGGACCAUCUCCUAAGGCUAAAUACUCUCUAGUGACCGAUAGUGAACCAGUACCGUGAGGGAAAGGUGAAAAGCACCCCGGAAGGGGAGUGAAAUAGAACC